This 253-nucleotide ribosomal RNA is filed under the name uncultured bacterium. RNAcentral's name for it is "partial 16S ribosomal RNA". It matches the Rfam family "Bacterial small subunit ribosomal RNA", at positions 524 to 776 of the family's 1533-position model. The record is from RNAcentral.
UACGUAGGGUGCGAGCGUUAAUCGGAAUUACUGGGCGUAAAGGGUGCGCAGGCGGCGUCGCAAGUCAGGCGUGAAAUCCCCGGGCUUAACCUGGGAACUGCACUUGAAACUACGAUGCUGGAGUAUGGCAGAGGGAGGUGGAAUUCCACGUGUAGCGGUGAAAUGCGUAGAUAUCGUGAGGAAGACCAGUGGCGUAAGCGAAUCUCUGGACAGUUCCUGACGCUGAGGCACGAAGGCUAGGGGAGCAAACGGG